CGGAAUCGCUAGUAAUCGUGGAUCAGAAUGCCACGGUGAAUACGUUCCCGGGCCUUGUACACACCGCCCGUCACACCAUGGGAGUGGGUUGCAAAAGAAGUAGGUAGCUUAACCUUCGGGAGGGCGCUUACCACUUUGUGAUUCAUGACUGGGGUGAAGUCGUAACAAGGUAACCGUAGGGGAACCUGCGGUUGGAUCACCUCCUUA
RNAcentral lists this ribosomal RNA (207 nucleotides) under Escherichia coli. Its description in RNAcentral is "partial 16S ribosomal RNA". It matches the Rfam family "Bacterial small subunit ribosomal RNA", at positions 1327 to 1533 of the family's 1533-position model. The record is from RNAcentral. RNAcentral also lists the same sequence under 4 other names. Lineage: Bacteria; Pseudomonadati; Pseudomonadota; Gammaproteobacteria; Enterobacterales; Enterobacteriaceae.